RNAcentral lists this ribosomal RNA (460 nucleotides) under uncultured bacterium. RNAcentral describes it as "partial 16S ribosomal RNA". It matches the Rfam family "Bacterial small subunit ribosomal RNA", at positions 338 to 795 of the family's 1533-position model. The record is from RNAcentral.
CCUACGGGUGGCUGCAGUGAGGAAUAUUGGUCAAUGGGCGUGAGCCUGAACCAGCCAAGUCGCGUGAAGGAUGACGGCCCUAUCGGUUGUAAACUUCUUUUAUAGGGGAAUAAAGUGAUCCACGUGUGCCUUUUUGCAUGUACCCUAUGAAUAAGCAUCGGCUAACUCCGUGCCAGCAGCCGCGGUAAUACGGAGGAUGCGAGCGUUAUCCGGAUUUAUUGGGUUUAAAGGGUGCGUAGGUUGGUUUUUAAGUCAGGGGUGAAAGUUUGCGGCUCAACCGUAAAAUUGCCGUUGAAACUGGAAGCCUUGAGUGUGUUUGAGGUAGGCGGAAUGCGUGGUGUAGCGGUGAAAUGCAUAGAUAUCACGCAGAACUCCGAUUGCGAAGGCAGCUUACUAAGCCGCAACUGACACUGAAGCACGAAAGCGUGGGUAUCAAACAGGAUUAGAUACCCGGGUAGUC